Non-coding RNA from Callithrix jacchus (white-tufted-ear marmoset), 125 nucleotides. NCBI's taxonomy places the organism in Eukaryota, Metazoa, Chordata, Mammalia, Primates, Cebidae. The record is from Ensembl.
GCGCUCACGAAGGCUCGGUCCUCUCCAUGUGGUCCUGACCUGUCCUCUGUGAGCAAGAGAAACAGGACUGGUUUGGGGGUGUCCUGUCUGAGUGGACACGGGACACCACGGUUUUCAGUACGACA